AAGAUUGUACUUGUUUUGAGCUAUUGCUGGUUGUUAGAGGGGUGGUUCAGUAUGACAUCUGUGCUAUUCACGUGGCUGCAGGAAAGAAGACAAUUUCCAGAAAAGGAAAGAGAAAAGUGAGGCUGGUGUCGCUAGCUCCCUUGUGAUGUUACUUCAUUUCCUCAGCUGGCUGUGAUCUAUAGCUACCUACACAGAAAAUAAUAGUAGGUGUU
Molecule: non-coding RNA, 212 nt
Organism: Coturnix japonica (Japanese quail)
Lineage: Eukaryota; Metazoa; Chordata; Aves; Galliformes; Phasianidae
Source: RefSeq, a predicted model, not a curated record